RNAcentral lists this transfer RNA (72 nucleotides) under Cereibacter sphaeroides. RNAcentral describes it as "tRNA-Thr(tgt)". It matches the Rfam family "tRNA". From Rfam's summary of the family: Transfer RNA (tRNA) molecules are approximately 80 nucleotides in length. RNAcentral also lists the same sequence under 9 other names. Lineage: Bacteria; Pseudomonadati; Pseudomonadota; Alphaproteobacteria; Rhodobacterales; Paracoccaceae. The record is from RNAcentral.
GCCCCGUUAGCACAGUGGUAGUGCAGCGCUCUUGUAAAGCGAAGGUCGUUCGUUCAAAUCGGACACGGGGCA